Empidonax traillii (willow flycatcher) is the source of this 1976-nucleotide long non-coding RNA. RefSeq lists it as uncharacterized. The transcript is spliced from 3 exons. Lineage: Eukaryota; Metazoa; Chordata; Aves; Passeriformes; Tyrannidae. The record is from RefSeq and is a predicted model, not a curated record.
GGAGGGCUCUGCGUUUGGGGACCUGGGCGGGUUCGGGAAGUGGAAUCCAAAGGCCACUGAGACAGAGCAAACUCCUGCACCUUCAUUCAUCCUGCCUGGGAGUGAGGAGAUCAAAAGGUUUUCGAAGUCGUGGCUCAUCAUCUUUAUCCUGCACUAAUGGAGAAAUGAUUAGAGCCUUACCAAAGACUACUUACAAUGCAUCUCACUGCAUUGGAGGCGCUUCUCUUGGAGCACAGAAACAUUCCUUUUCACAACGUUAAUUCCAGGAAAUCCAAGUGCAGUAUUUGGCCAUGGAUGAUAUUUGAAAUUCUUGUCACGGUAUCUUUUCAAAAAGGAUGAAUGGAAACAGAACUGUUACCCUGCCUGAGACAGAUUUGCAAUAAAUAAAAGAUACUCUAUAAACGUACAGAUAUGAUCAAGAUUAGUUUUAUAGUUAUUGCAUAUGAUUACACAAGGGGAAUGUUUGUUCCAUCUCACUUAAAUAGCAUAGGGUUUUUGUAAUAAUAAUAUUUUUCAUCAUCGGGCCUUGUAAGUAAAUACAACAUUUUCAGUCAAAACAUAUAAGUAGUUGUUGUGCACGAACAAUGCAAAUUCUUCUUGGAAAUAUUCCUCCCAGGAGAUGUGGAGAACUUAUAAAAAAUGUAAUAAAUAACUGCUUGGCUUUUCUAUUUCUAUUAAAUAUAUUGUGUUGAAGAUGUUAUUGCUUCCAAGCAGCUGCUCAUCAUCUAGUUUUGCUGUACAAUUUCCAUUUGGGGUGAAUGACCUCUGUGCUCUCUAGAUCAUUUCUCUGAUGAAAACUGCCUGUGUUCCAGGUCUGGGUAUUCACAAAGCAAGAGGGUUUUGUGCCUGAUGGAGAGACACUGUUAAUAAAUAUUCUGUUUUUACAAUAUACUGCUCUGAGUCAGAAUGGAAGUAAAAUUCAGUUUAUAAGUUUGUGUAACAAAAAUGACUUCAGCCUUGGGUUUACAUAUGCCUGAUAAAUGUAUGAUUUUGGGGGCGUCUUACAGAUGAAUUUGGACCAUUCUCAGGGAGAAUUGAGAAGCCAGGACUGCAUUUCCUUUGACAUUGCUGUCGGCUACAGUCAGCCAAGGUGUGGCGUUUAUAAACCUGGACAAAGUUUGACAAUGGUUAGAGGGAAGUUUUGUGCCCUUCCAGGCCUUGCCCAUCUGUUUUUGGGGAUGCUCAGUAACCUUUGCUCUUCCUUUCACUUUUAGAGAAGCAUUUUGAUCACCCAUGGAUAUGUCUUAAGCUUUUCUUCCAGGAGGGCAAUGACAUUUGUGAUAACCAGCACAGGUGCAGGACUUCCUGUACCAGCAGAAGUGUUCCCAGGCAGCAUUUGAAUUUAUUUAGCUAUUGUGCCAUAGAUUGCAUUGACUGCACUGCUUUGGGAUCUCUCAGAUGGGUUAAAGGGAGCACCUCUCCUUCCAUCCUGCUGACUCAAUCCGCAGUUGCUUCCUUCUUGCAUUUGAAUUUUUAUAUCCAGAGAUUAUGGGGCUGUCAGGAAUUUAAAGGAUGAUUAAUUAUUCCUUCAGAGAGGAGGUAAAGAUACUCAGUUCAGAAAGGGGCUAAAGAUGCUAAUUUAUUAAGUAAUAUCUUUUUAUUAAACUGUUUGUGCUUCAGCCUUAAAAAAUGGGGCUUGGCUGUACAUAAAGAAAGUGAUUCUAUCCUAAGUUAUGUUCCUUCAGACGGUGCUAUACUGAAAGUGAUUUAAUAAACAAGUUUCCUUCAGUGGGUUGGAUGUUUAAAUGCAAAUGUGUGAACAUCUCUAGGUGCUCUUUACAAAUCCACAAGAGUUUCCAAAGCGAUGUGUUUUGGGAAGGAUGUGAUUAUUAUAGAUACAGCUCAGUUUAUACCCUGGUAUUUCAUCUUGGGCUCUAUAAUAAAAAAGAGUUUUACAGUGCCACAAUAAAUGUAAGUGGCUUCAUUUCUACAAAAGGGGAAAAUCUGUUUUCUGAUCCUGGCAGAAGGGAAGAUUU